This is a long non-coding RNA of Homo sapiens (human), 1801 nucleotides long. Ensembl annotates it as long intergenic non-protein coding RNA 2937. Lineage: Eukaryota; Metazoa; Chordata; Mammalia; Primates; Hominidae. The record is from Ensembl.
GAAAAAAAGAAAAGCAUUAGGUAAGGCCACAGCUGUCAUAGAUAGUGAUUCCUCUGAUGUAUCUGGGCCAAGUAAAUUGAAAACCUUCUGGAAGGGAUUAACCAUUUUAGAUGCCAUUAAGAACAUUUGCGAUUCAUGAAAGGUGGUCAAGAUAUUGAUAUUCUCAGAAGUUUGGAAGAAGUUGGUUCCAACCCUCACAAAUGACUUUGAAAGGUUUAACACUUCAGUGGAAGAAGUCACCGCACAUGUGGUGGAAACAGCAAGAGAACUAGAAUUAGAAGUGGUGCCUCAAGAUGUGACUGAAUUGCCGCAAUCUCAUGAUCAAACUUGAAUGGAUGAGGAGUUGCUUCUUAUGGAUGAGCAAAGAAAAUGGCUUCUUGAAAUGGAUUCUACUCCUGGUGAAGAUGCUGUGAACGUUGUUGAAGUGACAACAAAGGACUUAGAAUAUUACAUAAAUGUAGUUGAUAAAGCAGCAGCAGGGUUUGAGAGGACUGACUCCAAUUUGAAAGAAGUUCUACUGUGGGUAUAAUGCUGUCAAACAGCAUCACAUUCUAUGGAGAAGUCUUUUGUGAAAGGAAAAGUCAAUCAAUAUGACAAAGUUCACUGUUGUCUUAUUUUGAGAAAUUGCCACAGCCACCCCAGCCUUCAGCAAUCAUCAACAUCAAAGCAAGACCCUCCAUUAGCAACAAGAUUAUGGCUCGCUGAAGGCUCAGAUGAUCAUUAGCAUUUUUUAGAAAUAAAGUAUUUUUAAAUUAAGGUAUGUACAUUUUUUUAAGACAUAAUGCUAUUGCAUGCUUAAUAGACUAUAGAACACUAUAAACAUAAUGUUUGUAUGCAUUGGAAAACCAAAAUAUUAGUGUAACUAGCCAUAUUCUGAUAUUUGCUUUAUUGCGGUUAUCUAGAACCAAACCUGAAAUAUUUCUGAGGUAUGUUUGCAACAUUCUCAAAAAAUGCAAACCUUAAACCCUGAAUUUGAGUUACAGAAAGCCAGAGACACAUAUAUACUUACAUAUGUACAUUUAUUCAGAUUUAUCGAAGACCGAGUUAUUCUGCAUAAAGUUCCAAGUGGCAUUAAAUUUCAUUUAGAAAUAAGAAUUUUUGAAACAAAUGUUUAUAAGCCAUAUCAUAAUUUUCCUUCUCUUUUUAAAAAACAUUUUCUGAAAACAACUUGACCUUUUGCUUAGUGACUUAGCAUUUUUUUUUCCCAGGAGAGGUGCCCGAUGAGCUCCCAGUCAUGUGGUUCAGGGCGGGCUCUGGAAGACUCACAGAGGAGACUCCUCCGAGAAACCAAGAAGGUUUCUGUCCAAGUCGGGAUCUGCUCUGCUCAGGAUGCUCCUCCAACACACACAGUGAAAAACUGAGCACCUAGAGAGCAACACCAAAAACCCAUGGCCAAUAAUGGAGAGCCAAAUCAGGAGAGCAUUCAGCAAAGCAAUUCUUGCUGUAGAAGGAACAGCACAAAAAGCUGGAAGGAAACUGAGGCAUGCGUGAAAGAUAACUUGUCAGUGUUUGCAGUCUACUGAGAUCCCCGCUGCAAGAAAAGGCAGGAUUUCCACUUGCUUCUUGGCCCGCCUCUGUUGUCCAGAAUCCAGGACAGGUGACAAGAGAAGCAGAUGUGAUCUGCACAAGCUGGCUCAGCUGGGUUGGGAGUUGCUCUUCCUGGACAGGCCGGGAAGGGUGCUGGAGGGGAGGGAGGAGGAGAGAGGUUUUAGGGGAGGGGUGCUGAGCAGUCAGGGACCUGUAAGGUCACAUUUCUUUCAGGUAUUCUUUCUAGGUGUACUGAAUGGGAACAUUGUCUGUC